UACGAAGGGGGCUAGCGUUGUUCGGAAUUACUGGGCGUAAAGCGCACGUAGGCGGAUAUUUAAGUCAGGGGUGAAAUCCCGGGGCUCAACCCCGGAACUGCCUUUGAUACUGGGUAUCUCGAGUCCGAGAGAGGUGAGUGGAAUUCCGAGUGUAGAGGUGAAAUUCGUGGAUAUUCGGAGGAACACCAGUGGCGAAGGCGGCUCACUGGCUCGGUACUGACGCUGAGGUGCGAAAGCGUGGGGAGCAAACAGG
Molecule: ribosomal RNA, 253 nt
Filed under: uncultured bacterium
Lineage: Bacteria
Description: partial 16S ribosomal RNA
Rfam family: Bacterial small subunit ribosomal RNA
Source: RNAcentral